UACAGGGGGGGCAAGCGUUGUUCGGAAUUACUGGGCGUAAAGGGUUUGUAGGUGGCUUGUUAAGUCAGACGUGAAAUCCCUCAGCUUAACUGGGGAACUGCGUCUGAUACUGAUGAGCUUGAGUGCAGGAGAGGAACGCGGAAUUCCAGGUGUAGCGGUGAAAUGCGCAGAUAUCAGGAGGAACACCGGUGGCGAAGGCGGAUCUCUGGGCCUUACCUGACGCUGAGGCGCGAAAGCUAGGGGAGCAAACAGG
Molecule: ribosomal RNA, 253 nt
Filed under: uncultured bacterium
Lineage: Bacteria
Description: partial 16S ribosomal RNA
Rfam family: Bacterial small subunit ribosomal RNA
Source: RNAcentral